AAGAAAAGGCAAAACAACUGUUCUUGAAUGUAACAGGGGUAUAACUUCAUAAUCGAAAUGUAAACCAAAACCACAUUCAAACAGCAUGUUUUGGCAUGUAAGGUCAGUAAUAUCAUACUGGCCAAAAACCAA
Molecule: long non-coding RNA, 132 nt
Organism: Lutra lutra (Eurasian river otter)
Lineage: Eukaryota; Metazoa; Chordata; Mammalia; Carnivora; Mustelidae
Exons: 3
Source: RefSeq, a predicted model, not a curated record